This 251-nucleotide ribosomal RNA is filed under the name uncultured Mesorhizobium sp. RNAcentral describes it as "partial 16S ribosomal RNA". It matches the Rfam family "Bacterial small subunit ribosomal RNA", at positions 526 to 776 of the family's 1533-position model. The record is from RNAcentral. Lineage: Bacteria; Pseudomonadati; Pseudomonadota; Alphaproteobacteria; Hyphomicrobiales; Phyllobacteriaceae.
CGAAGGGGGCUAGCGUUGUUCGGAAUUACUGGGCGUAAAGCGCACGUAGGCGGAUACUUAAGUCAGGGGUGAAAUCCCGGGGCUCAACCCCGGAACUGCCUUUGAUACUGGGUAUCUCGAGUCCGGAAGAGGUGAGUGGAAUUCCGAGUGUAGAGGUGAAAUUCGUAGAUAUUCGGAGGAACACCAGUGGCGAAGGCGGCUCACUGGUCCGGUACUGACGCUGAGGUGCGAAAGCGUGGGGAGCAAACAGG